GCUGGCGUAGCUCAGUAGGCAGAGCAGCUCACUCGUAAUGAGCAGGUCGGGGGUUCGAAUCCCCCCAUCAGCU
RNAcentral lists this transfer RNA (73 nucleotides) under Firmicutes bacterium HGW-Firmicutes-1. RNAcentral's name for it is "tRNA-Thr". It matches the Rfam family "tRNA". From Rfam's summary of the family: Transfer RNA (tRNA) molecules are approximately 80 nucleotides in length. Lineage: Bacteria; Bacillati; Bacillota. The record is from RNAcentral.